Molecule: long non-coding RNA, 749 nt
Organism: Lolium rigidum
Lineage: Eukaryota; Viridiplantae; Streptophyta; Magnoliopsida; Poales; Poaceae
Exons: 3
Source: RefSeq, a predicted model, not a curated record
GACCUUUUUGAGUUUCUCGUGGGAGGACGCCGAGUAAAACUACCAAGAUACCGGCGAGAACCUCAAGACAAUGAUAUUCCUUGGUGCUUGUUUAUGACUGAAAUACCCAAACCUAACAUUUCAUCCGGUUUUGCCUUCUGCAAGGAUAGGAGAGGAGGUAUUGAUGUCAUGGGCAGUGGUGAAGCUAACCUGACAUUGCCCAGGCAAACCACCAAAGGUCCUGGCCAAUGAUUUUUUGCCCACUAAAAGUUUUGAGUAACUAUUCUAGACGGUUGUAUAACUGAAACAGUGGAUUCUGGGCAGAGCCGGGGCAACUGCCCAGCCUUGCCGGGCUGAAUCUCCGCCACUGGUCAUGGGAUAUCAAAUUACUGGAUUGAUGUCAUGGGGUGCUUGAUAAACAGCAACAUGAACUUGAUCAGCUGUAGGAUAGUAGAUAUUGACUUUAAGUGAUGAACCUCUGGCUAUGGAGCUGAUUUUUCACCUUGGGGAAAUAUGCUGAAGGUCCAUUUAAUUUGCUCAUGUAGUUUAUUAUGCGCUUGAGGUAUCAAUGCUGUUAGCUAACUAAUGCAAUUAUGCUGUGUUGAUGAUUAUUACUGAACCUCUGACAAUUAUUCGUUUUCACUUUUUUAGCUCAUGGUUCUUUAAAUCAGACCAUCAAUGAUUCCUUGGCAUGAUAAUCUUGGAGCUCGCGCCUUAUUUCACUAUGUUAACUUAUUGCAAAUGUUGGAGCAGGAGCGGAACAAUACAUG